This 64-nucleotide transfer RNA is filed under the name Seladonia tumulorum. RNAcentral describes it as "tRNA-Gly". The record is from RNAcentral. Lineage: Eukaryota; Metazoa; Arthropoda; Insecta; Hymenoptera; Halictidae.
AUAUAUAUAGUAUAAAUAAUUAUAUUUAAUUUCCAAUUAAAAGAUUUAAAAAUUAAUAUAUAUA